RNAcentral lists this ribosomal RNA (253 nucleotides) under uncultured bacterium. RNAcentral describes it as "partial 16S ribosomal RNA". It matches the Rfam family "Bacterial small subunit ribosomal RNA", at positions 524 to 776 of the family's 1533-position model. The record is from RNAcentral.
UACGUAGGUGGCAAGCGUUACUCGGAAUCACUAGGCGUAAAGCGCAGGUAGGCGGUUUGAUAAGUCUGUUGUGAAAGCUCCCGGCUUAACUGGGAGAGGUCAACGGAAACUAUCAGGCUAGAGUGUGGUAGAGGUAGCUGGAAUUCCCGGUGUAGCGGUGAAAUGCGUAGAUAUCGGGAGGAAUACCUAUGGCGACAGCAGGCUACUGGACCAUCACUGACGCUGAUCUGCGAAAGCUAGGGGAGCAAACAGG